Non-coding RNA from Miniopterus natalensis, 282 nucleotides. Lineage: Eukaryota; Metazoa; Chordata; Mammalia; Chiroptera; Miniopteridae. The record is from RefSeq and is a predicted model, not a curated record.
UUUACAGACUGCAGGCAGGGAAGGGACUGAGUGCUUGGUAUGUCUUUGUUCCUACUUCUAUACGAUAGCAAAACUAUAUUUUUGUGACAUCAGAAGACUCAGCGGAAGCAAUGCAUAAUCAGUGCUGUUCGGGUGUGUGAUACUCUCCCAUUCUGCUUUGAGGGCCACCAGCUUCAAUUUAACAUCAUCCAGUUCAAUACCACAUUCUAGAGAUGAUGGAAUUUCAAAUCAGAGAAAGAAAACUCCUUAUUUUAUGGUCAGUGAAUAAAUUUGCCAUCUUUU